This 439-nucleotide ribosomal RNA is filed under the name uncultured bacterium. Its description in RNAcentral is "partial 16S ribosomal RNA". It matches the Rfam family "Bacterial small subunit ribosomal RNA", at positions 355 to 786 of the family's 1533-position model. The record is from RNAcentral.
UGGGGAAUAUUGCACAAUGGGCGCAAGCCUGAUGCAGCCAUGCCGCGUGUGUGAAGAAGGCCUUCGGGUUGUAAAGCACUUUCAGCGAGGAGGAAGGGUAGUGUGUUAAUAGCACAUUGCAUUGACGUUACUCGCAGAAGAAGCACCGGCUAACUCCGUGCCAGCAGCCGCGGUAAUACGGAGGGUGCAAGCGUUAAUCGGAAUUACUGGGCGUAAAGCGCACGCAGGCGGUUUGUUAAGUCAGAUGUGAAAUCCCCGCGCUUAACGUGGAACUGCAUUUGAAACUGGCAAGCUAGAGUCUUGUAGAGGGGGGUAGAAUUCCAGGUGUAGCGGUGAAAUGCGUAGAGAUCUGGAGGAAUACCGGUGGCGAAGGCGGCCCCCUGGACAAAGACUGACGCUCAGGUGCGAAAGCGUGGGGAGCAAAACAGGAUUAGAUACC